UCGAACGAGAGAUGAGGAGCUUGCUCUUCAAUCGAGUGGCGAACGGGUGCGUAACGCGUGAGGAACCUGCCUCAAAGAGGGGGACAACAGUUGGAAACGACUGCUAAUACCGCAUAAGCCCACGGCUCGGCAUCGAGCAGAGGGAAAAGGAGCAAUCCGCUUUGAGAUGGCCUCGCGUCCGAUUAGCUAGUUGGUGAGGUAACGGCCCACCAAGGCGACGAUCGGUAGCCGGACUGAGAGGUUGAACGGCCACAUUGGGACUGAGACACGGCCCAGACUCCUACGGGAGGCAGCAGUGGGGAAUAUUGCACAAUGGGGGAAACCCUGAUGCAGCGACGCCGCGUGGAGGAAGAAGGUCUUCGGAUUGUAAACUCCUGUUGUUGAGGAAGAUAAUGACGGUACUCAACAAGGAAGUGACGGCUAACUACGUGCCAGCAGCCGCGGUAAAACGUAGGUCACAAGCGUUGUCCGGAAUUACCGGGUGUAAAGGGAGCGCAGGCGGGAGAACAAGUUGGAAGUGAAAUCCAUGGGCUCAACCCAUGAACUGCUUUCAAAACUGUUUUUCUUGAGUAGUGCAGAGGUAGAUGGAAUUCCCGGUGUAGCGGUGGAAUGCGUAGAUAUCGGGAGGAACACCAGUGGCGAAGGCGGUCUACUGGGCACCAACUGACGCUGAGGCUCGAAAGCAU
Molecule: ribosomal RNA, 686 nt
Filed under: uncultured bacterium
Lineage: Bacteria
Description: bacterial SSU rRNA
Rfam family: Bacterial small subunit ribosomal RNA
Source: RNAcentral